AUCGAAGGAAAAGGUGGUUGGAGAUUAAGCUUGGAUGGGCAUCACACAAUCUUGGUAUCAGUACUAGGAGGUGAAUACAUUCCCUAUCACCGUCAUGUUUGGCAUAUGCUCUAUUUUCCUAUUCAUUACUUCCAUUUUGCAAAGGCGGUUGAUGAUUGUUGCUGAGGCCCAUAGAUCAAGGAUGAAGGAUGUGAGAUUGAUGUUUUGAUGGGCUCACUAAAGUCAAAAACCAAGGACUUCAGCAUAUUUUUCUCUCUCUUUGGUUAAGAUUCUCUAUAUAUGAAAUUGAUUGUAAUAGAUUUUGUUGGUUAAGAUUUUUUAUAUGAAAUAGAUUGUAAUAGACUUUGUGACUAGAAAUGGAUUAUACUUUAUAUUAGGAAUAUCAUGACAUUUACUUUAGAUUUGUUUUGGUUCUUUCAUUGACUUUUCUUUCUGCAAAUAUUAUGUGUGAGAAAUGUUGUUCUUUAAUUAGCGGAAUUGUGGUUGUGCUUCUGCUUGUUAAUAUUUACAAACUCGAUGUUGAUGGCCACUCAAGUUUUUGUGUUAGGAAAUUGCCAAUUUUUUUAAAUACAUAUUUAUU
Long non-coding RNA from Asparagus officinalis (garden asparagus), 580 nucleotides. RefSeq lists it as uncharacterized. The transcript is spliced from 3 exons. NCBI's taxonomy places the organism in Eukaryota, Viridiplantae, Streptophyta, Magnoliopsida, Asparagales, Asparagaceae. The record is from RefSeq and is a predicted model, not a curated record.